Molecule: small nucleolar RNA, 205 nt
Filed under: Mesitornis unicolor (brown roatelo)
Lineage: Eukaryota; Metazoa; Chordata; Aves; Mesitornithiformes; Mesitornithidae
Description: Small nucleolar RNA SNORA73 family
Rfam family: Small nucleolar RNA SNORA73 family
About the family: U17 (SNORA73A and SNORA73B) also known as E1 belongs to the H/ACA class of small nucleolar RNAs (snoRNAs). Vertebrate U17 is intron-encoded and ranges in length from 200-230 nucleotides, longer than most snoRNAs.
Source: Rfam by way of RNAcentral
CCAACGUGGAUAUCCGGAGAAGUCGCUCUCUCUUGGCUCUGUCCGUGUGGCGCAUGGGAGCGUAGGCCUCCGGGCCCAUGACGUAUAGUCCCGUUCCACGACGUUGGAGAUCAAGCCGGGCCUCGUGUCUGCAGCCUGCAUAUUCCUACUGCUUCUCCGAGCCCUUGGGCAGUGUCGGAGGAGAUAAACCAUGCAGGAAACAGUU